GGGUAAAAUUAAUAAUCUAUAAUUAAUAAAAAAAAUUUUAAUAUUAAAAAGAAAUAAUGGGGGUUUGAGUAUUUUUAAUAGAAAAAAUUAAUAUUUUUAUAGUUAAAUAUUACUGUAAAGGAAUUUAUAAAUAAGUGAAAUUAAUUAAUAAUAAAGUAAAUUUAAUUUAUUGUAUCUUGUGUAUCAGAGUUUAUUAAAUAAUAAUAGUUUGUUUAAAUAAAUCUCGAAUUUAAAAGAGUUAAUUAAUUAUAAAAGUUAAUGUUGCAUAAUUUUUUUUAAUAGUUAAUUAGAAAUGAAAUGUUAAUCGUUUUUAAAUAUAUCUAGUUUUUUUAGAAAAAAAUUUAAUUUAAAAUUUAAAUAAUUUUAUAAUUAUUUAAUUAAUUAUAAAAAUUUAAAAUUUAAUAUUUUAGGGGAUAAGCUUUAAAUUAAAUUAUUAUAAUUAAAUUAAUUUAAAAUUAAAAUUUUUAAUAUUUAUAUUGUUUAAAAAUUAUAAUUUAUUAUAAAAAAUUUUAAUUAAAAAUAAAAUUUAAAAUAAUUUAAAUUUUUAUAAAAAAAUAAUUUAUAGUUUUAUAAAAUUAGAAAUAAUGAUAAAAUUAGUAUAAUAAGAAUAAAAUUAAAUUAAAAUUUAUUUUAAAUUAAGUUAAAGGAAUUCGGCAAAAUUUUAUAUUCACUUGUUUAUCAAAAACAUGUCUUUUUGAUAAUAAUUUAAAGUCUAAUCUGCCCACUGAUAUAUUAUAUUAAAGGGCUGCAGUAUAUUGACUGUACAAAGGUAGCAUAAUCAUUAGUCUUUUAAUUGGAGACUUGUAUGAAAGAUUUGAUGAGAUAUAAACUGUCUCUAAUUUAUAUUUAGAAAUUAAUUUUUUAGUUAAAAAGCUAAAAUAAAAUUAAAAGACGAGAAGACCCUAUAGAGUUUUAUAUUUUAUUUUUUUAAUGUUAAAUAUAUAAUUAGAUUAUAUAAAAAAAAUAAAUUAUUGUGUUGGGGUGAUAGAAAAAUUUAAUAAACUUUUUUUUAAAAUAUACAUAAAUAAGUGGUUGAUUGAUCCAUUUUUAAUGAUUAAAAGAAAAAGUUACCUUAGGGAUAACAGCGUAAUAUUUUUUUUUAGUACAAAUAAAAAAAAAAGUUUGCGACCUCGAUGUUGGAUUAAGAUAAAAUUUAAAUGCAAAAGUUUAAAAUUUUGAUCUGUUCGAUCAUUAAAAUCUUACAUGAUCUGAGUUCAAACCGGUGUAAGCCAGGUUGGUUUCUAUCUUUAAUUAAUAUAAUAAUAUUUUAGUACGAAAGGAUCAAAUAUUUGAAAUAAUUUUAUAUAGUUUGAAUAUUAUUAACAAGAUAAUUA
This 1334-nucleotide ribosomal RNA is filed under the name Hypolimnas usambara (red spot diadem). RNAcentral describes it as "16S ribosomal RNA". Lineage: Eukaryota; Metazoa; Arthropoda; Insecta; Lepidoptera; Nymphalidae. The record is from RNAcentral.